This 253-nucleotide ribosomal RNA is filed under the name uncultured bacterium. RNAcentral's name for it is "partial 16S ribosomal RNA". It matches the Rfam family "Bacterial small subunit ribosomal RNA", at positions 524 to 776 of the family's 1533-position model. The record is from RNAcentral.
UACGAAGGGUGCAACCGUUGCUCGGAAUCAUUGGGCGUAAAGCGCACGUAGGCGGCUUCGCAAGUCGGAUGUGAAAUCCCUCGGCUCAACCAAGGACGUGCAUCCGAAACUGCGAAGCUUGAGUACAGAAGAGGAUCGCGGAAUUCCCGGUGUAGAGGUGAAAUUCGUAGAUAUCGGGAGGAACACCAGUGGCGAAGGCGGCGAUCUGGGCUGAUACUGACGCUGAGGUGCGAAAGCGUGGGGAGCGAACAGG